UUUUGUGCACAAUCCUUGCUCUCGUCUGAGGGUACCCAAUUUGUGAGCGGGGUGGGGAGUGUUACCUGCAGUCAUGGCAGCCUCAGUUGCCUCCGUUGGGUGCAAGGUCGCUGCCUCAUUGGCCUCGACCACCAAGCUCGAGAAGACCUCCGCUGUUAGGUCGACCUCUGUAAACAACGCCUUCGGCCUCAAGCCCUCCGCCGCCCGCGUCUCCUGCAGCUUAGGUGAGAAUGUGAAGAGCGUCGUGGACAGCGCCAAGGCUGCUGCCAUCGUCUUGGCAUCGUCUGCUCUCGUUGCUGGGGUGAGAUCUCUUCCGUAUCCUACUAUUUAAUGCAUUCUCUUUUCUCAUUCCACGAAGAGAACUCGUUUACUAGUUGGAUCACUGCGCGCUGAGGGAGUAUCAGGGUUAAUUAACUAUUAUUUCUACGUCACACCGCCCAGAUUUUUGCAAAAGAGUGGUCAGAUUGGGGCAAUAAUCAUAGUUGAAUAUAAUUUUCAGUGUUUUCGAGUAUCUCAAUGCUGGUUUUUUCUUCCAUUCUGAAACUUAUGGGGUUGUACAACUUGCCGUUGGCGAUAUUGUUACUCUUGUUACUCAUACUCCCGAUAUCAUGUGCUCAGGCUUCCUUUGCUGAGGGAGUGCCACAAAGGUUGACCUUCGACGAGAUCAACGCCCAGACCUACUUGGACGUGAAGGGCUCAGGAACAGCCAACCAGUGCCCCAUUGUUGCCGAGGGUUCCGACAAGUUCAACUUAAAGGAUGGCAACUACCAGAUGAAGAAGCUGUGUCUCGAGCCCACCUCCUUCACUGUCAAGGCUGAGUCCCAGUUCAAGCAAGGUGGCGAGGACUACCAGCCUACCAAGCUGAUGACCCGCUUGACUUACACCUUGGACGAGAUUGAGGGUCCAUUGACCAUCAGCAACGGCAAUCUGAAGUUUGAGGAGAAGGAUGGCAUCGACUACGCUGCCGUGACUGUGCAACUCCCAGGGGGCGAGAGGGUUCCUUUCCUCUUCACCAUCAAGGAGUUGGUUGCAACUGGAAAGCCUGAGGCAUUCGGUGGAUCCUAUUUGGUGCCCUCAUACAGAGGAUCGUCUUUCUUGGACCCCAAGGGCAGGGGUGGAUCUACCGGAUACGAUAACGCCGUGGCACUUCCUGCCGGAGGAGCUGGUGAUGAGGAAGAGCUUGCGAAGGAGAAUGAGAAGAACACCGCUGCUUUGAAUGGAAAC
RNAcentral lists this long non-coding RNA (1224 nucleotides) under Physcomitrium patens. Its description in RNAcentral is "long non-coding RNA (PPAT_LNC008335)". Lineage: Eukaryota; Viridiplantae; Streptophyta; Bryopsida; Funariales; Funariaceae. The record is from RNAcentral.